AUAACACGAGCAUCUCGCCUUGCAUUCAAGUAUGAAGGUGGCGUGUACAUGAAUGAAAUGGAGGACCACGCCACACGGUACUGCAUCCUAGGUUUCUUUUCAGAGGUAUCCUAGAUUUCCAACCAAAAGGAGCUGCAUCUCCCUCGAGUCUGGCGGCUUGGGAUCUCACUACCUCGGCAAUAAUGCAUCCAUGGAGGGAGCUAGCUCGA
RNAcentral lists this long non-coding RNA (209 nucleotides) under Hordeum vulgare. RNAcentral's name for it is "long non-coding RNA (HVUL_LNC004183)". Lineage: Eukaryota; Viridiplantae; Streptophyta; Magnoliopsida; Poales; Poaceae. The record is from RNAcentral.